UGGGGAAUAUUGGACAAUGGGCGCAAGCCUGAUCCAGCAAUGCCGCGUGUGUGAAGAAGGCCUUCGGGUUGUAAAGCACUUUUAUCAGGAGCGAAACGCUGUCGGCUAAUACCCGGCGGAACUGACGGUACCUGAGGAAUAAGCACCGGCUAACUUCGUGCCAGCAGCCGCGGUAAUACGAAGGGUGCAAGCGUUAAUCGGAAUUACUGGGCGUAAAGCGUGCGUAGGCGGUUUCUUAAGUCUGCUGUGAAAUCCCCGGGCUCAACCUGGGAAUGGCAGUGGAUACUGGGAGGCUAGAGUGUGUCAGAGGGUGGUGGAAUUCCCGGUGUAGCGGUGAAAUGCGUAGAGAUCGGGAGGAACAUCAGUGGCGAAGGCGGCCACCUGGGACAACACUGACGCUGAGGCACGAAAGCGUGGGGAGCAAACAGGAUUAGAUACCCUGGUAGUCCACGCCCUAAAGCGAUGCGAACUGGAUGUUGGUCUCAACUCGGAGAUCAGUGUCGAAGCUAACGCGUUAAGUUCGCCGCCUGGGGAGUACAGUCGCAAGACU
This 550-nucleotide ribosomal RNA is filed under the name uncultured bacterium. Its description in RNAcentral is "partial 16S ribosomal RNA". It matches the Rfam family "Bacterial small subunit ribosomal RNA", at positions 355 to 895 of the family's 1533-position model. The record is from RNAcentral.